AUUUAACCUCAUUCCCAGCUUCCUUCCAUACCUUGAUUUUUGUGUUAGAAAUGAGAUAAUGAAUGGGGAGUCAGGUGGGGUAAUAU
Molecule: microRNA precursor, 86 nt
Organism: Ictidomys tridecemlineatus (thirteen-lined ground squirrel)
Lineage: Eukaryota; Metazoa; Chordata; Mammalia; Rodentia; Sciuridae
Source: Ensembl